UCGUUUUCACUACUUGUAAACAAGCACAUGUUAGUAAUUGACAUGGUAGUUAGCUUUGUAGGCUAGAUAAAGAGUUUGAAUAUCAUCUGAGCAUAGAAUGAAGAGCUGAUUAAAGAUCUCGGGCAAUGCUAUUUCCUUCCAUUUUACAUGUGGAGUAGUAGGCUUAUUUGGAGCAUUGGUAUGCAUGGUGACAUUUGCGGAUUUGAGCCUGAGUAUUGACACAAUGCUUCCAAGCAGUCGAAGACUUCUACAGAUGAACAGAUUGUGUGUCCUAGUAUAUCGGACACUCUGUGACGAUGUUGGAAAUAUACCAGAGUAUAUGAAAAGAUGGGAGCUAAAACAAUCAAGGUGCAAACUGAAUAAAAAGACAGCAGAAUCAGUCAAACGUUGUAUUGAAAAGAACCGACGAUACAAAAACAGCAUAGUGAUGGAGAGCUGUGGAGCAGAUGAGAUUUUUCUACAUACCAAGAACAAGCUAGAUCUGGCCUUCCUUACACAGACUACUGCAAAACAGCAUCUGUACAGGAAAAUGAACAAGACAAACCAGUACAUGAAAAAAUUUCCACUACCACUGAAGGAGUACUAUCAGGCAGCAACGAGUAUAGAAGGGUUAGGUAAAGUGGAUUCGCUGUUGGUGGUCGGAAUCGCUGACAGGGUAUCAAUUCGAUACUUGCCUGUGCAAGUCUACCAACAGACAGGCAUGCUAAGUUUGGGAAAUGUGGAAGUCUUUUUGCUGAUGGUGGCUGAUGAUGCAGUUAAAUUAAUGAAAAAGAAUGGCAUGCAGAAAUAUCAAGUGAUGUUACAUACUGUUUUUAAAAUAGAAUGUUUGAUGAAGAUACCGGCAACAGCAGUCACGCCAAAUAUGAAAGAUAUUUUGGAAUUCGCUGAAAAUUCAUUAAAAAUGGACAAAAUUGAAGUAUUGGAUGAAUGUGUGUCAGAUAAUCUAAGGGACUAUAUCUACUUGAUGCAUUUUGUGAUUAAUAAGGAUUUCAACAUAGAUGAGGACUUAUUUGAAUUUCAAGCGUUUGUGGAAUUACUUCGGCGGCAGGAAGCAUAUCUGAUAAAGAAACUGGAGAGUUCUUUCCCAGGAUCAGGGUUGCCACUACUUAAGGCUGGCUAUACCAUGAUACACAAAGUCAAACACCUGUCACCCGAUGAGUUCCUCGAUAUAUUCAAGAUGGUCCGAAAAGUAAAAACAUACAAAAAUCUGUCCAAGAUGAAAGAGAACAUUGAUUUAUUGGCAGUUGUAUUGCAGCAAUGCCAAUGAGAAGUGUUCCCUGUUAUUGGACUGAUAGUAUCUCUGCAACACUUUUGUGACUUUUGGUCGAUCAAGCUGCUACCACAGCAUGAAGAAGUUUUCCAGAAUGGGUACAGAUCUAGCAGUUUUGAGUCUCGAGGUCUAUGAUACCGCCUCCACAACAUUGGUCUGAAUCACGCGAGAUCUCCAAUGAGACGCCAUUACAGCAGCGAUGGGUUCUGGAAUUGUAUCCUGGAAAAUCAGAAUAUUUGGUCCUGUAUAAUUCCAUCAACGAAAAUCUCAGAUUUUUCCAUCAGACAUCAGAAGACUGCACAAACAAUUAUUUACUGUCUUGUAUUGUUUGCCAUUCUAAAGAAGUCGUUGACACCAUGGAACCUCUUUUCGUGUGUUAGUUGGAAGGAUGACGACAAAUGGAAAUAUGAUCAAACUUAACCCAUUUGGUGGUAAUAUUUGAACCAAUUGUUUAACCUACCUGUAAUCUUAAUCUAUGGUUUUAGUCUACCUGUAAUCUGAACCUAUUACACAUUUUUGUGUAUAGUUUUAGCCUACCUGUAAUCUAAACCCAUUAUAUAGUUUUAGCCUACCUGUAAUCUAAACCUAUUAUAUGGUUUUAGCCUACCUGUAAUCUAAACCUUUUAUAUGGUUUUAGCCUACCAGUAAUCUAAACCCAUUAUAUGGUUUUAGCCAACCUGUAAACUAAACCUAUUAUGGUUUUAGCCUACCUGUAAUCUGGACCUAUGGUUUUAGCCUACCUGUAAUCUGAACCUAUGGUUUUAGCCUACUUGUAAUCUGAACCUAUGGUUUUAGUCUACCUGUAAUCUGGACCUAUGGUUUUAGCCUACCUGUAAUCUGGACCUAUGGUUUUAGUCUACCUGUAAUCUGAACCUAUGGUUUUAGUCUACCUGUAAUCUGGACCUAUGGUUUUAGCCUACCUGUAAUCUGAACCUAUGGUUUUAGUCUACCUGUAAUCUGGACCUAUGGUUUUAGCCUACCUGUAAUCUGAACCUAUGGUUUUAGUCUACCUGUAAUCUGAACCUAUGGUUUUAGUCUACCUGUAAUCUGAACCUAUGGUUUUAGCCUACCUGUAAUCUGAACCUAUUGUUUUAGCCUACUUGUAAUCUGAACCUAUUGUUUUAGUCUACCUGUAAUCUGGACCUAUUGUUUUAGCCUACCUGUAAUCUGUCAGAUGAUACAUACCAUUAGGAUUGGAUCCACAGCAUUCCAUGUUUUUUGGAAUCGCGUGGGCAUUGUUGCAGCAACUGUGUAUAUUGAUAUUAUAUGUUCCAUUCCCACAGCAGGAAUAGGAAGAGAUCGGCACCACAUUAAGAUGUGGGUGCCCAUUACAGCACAGGUCUUUGCGAUUGUCAAUGUCUGUAUUUCCGCAGGAUGAAAUAAAUUUUAACAUUGAUGUGGCUUG
This is an RNA transcript of Pecten maximus, 2675 nucleotides long. RefSeq lists it as uncharacterized. The transcript is spliced from 13 exons. The record is from RefSeq and is a predicted model, not a curated record. Lineage: Eukaryota; Metazoa; Mollusca; Bivalvia; Pectinida; Pectinidae.